This 2780-nucleotide long non-coding RNA is filed under the name Canis lupus familiaris (dog). Its description in RNAcentral is "lncRNA (ENSCAFG00845016964.1)". The record is from RNAcentral. Lineage: Eukaryota; Metazoa; Chordata; Mammalia; Carnivora; Canidae.
UUUUUAUUUUUAUUUUUUUGACAUUUAUUUUUAUCAGUGGACUGAUUGUCUAAAAAGCUUCUUUCUUGGUCUCCUCUGUUGGUGUAACUAAUAUUAUCUAUUGGCUUCUUAAGAAAAUAUAUCAACAUAACCCAGGCAGUAGAUACAUUUUGAAAGUCCAAAGCACGCAAGUCCUUUCACAAAUAGAGAAAUACCCUUAUAUCAUUACUGUCUGCUUCAAGAAAGUAAAAAUUAAAAAUGGAUGAGUGUCUUUCUAAGUACAGAACAAUAAAAUCAGUACUGAAGGGAUCAAAAGAAUGAUAUGCAAGACUAAAAGAAAUGUAAAGAAUAUUUGGCCUUGUUACUUGAAUGCAGAUUGUUUGAAGUCAUUAUAAUGUGUAAACAAAGAAUUUGACACUAACGUGAGGUGUUUGCAAUAACAAAAAAAGAUUAUAAAAGGCACCUAAAAACCCUAGGUUGGCAACAUUUUCUAGUCUUCACUGGAGAAUGGAAAGGCCUCCAGCUCAAGAACGAAAAUACUAGUUAAAUAUGGCAAGUGUAUUCCUAAGAUAAAACUACUAUUUUAGCUUCUUGAACUUAGCUGUUAAGAUCAUUCAUCCAGUUAAAUUCCCUGAUUUUUCCCUAUGUUUGCAAACUAAGUUGUAAUUAAAAUGUAGCUCUUAGUUUGCAGGUUACUGUGUGUCACCUACAGAAAAGUAAGGUAAGGCUUCUUAUUUUAUAUUUGGCUAUAUACUUGCAAUUGCAAGGCAAUGAGUCUUGAAGUAGCUUCAAAUUCAGCAUAAUUUUUUUUUUAAUCAGGUUAAAUUUUUUUAUCAGGUUAAAAAUAACAGUCAAUAUUAUUGGUCUUAUCCAAGAUCAUGCUAUAGUCUGUCUCUGAGUCCAGGACGCUUGAGUAUGGCAAUAUUCCAAAGGCUCUCUGAAUCAAUACUAAUGAUAAUUGGAGUAAUAAAUACUACUGAGAAUAAAAAUAAGGCAGAAAAACUAAGUGAUGAACAUUCAAGUGAAAACUCUCCAUAGGAAUAUUUCUUGUAACCCAUGGUGACAAAGCAACACCAUUAAGCAGUGUGCUUCAUACCUUGACAAGGGUCAAUGUUGUGGCAAUAUUUUAGCAAAAUGGAUCAAACCAAUUCCAGGUUUUACUGAAGUUAACCCACACAGCACACGAUCCAUGAGGUAGUGCUCUACAAAUCUUUAUCCUUUCUACAAUUUUAUGUGAACGUUUUCAUAGGGAAUGUAGCCUUUAAUGUCCAUCUUUAUUCCUUUUAGUAUAAUAUUUUUGAGAUUCAUGUGUGUAGUUGCAUGUAUCAGAAGUCCAUUCUACUUUAUUGCUGAGCAGCAUGCAUUUUAUAGAUAUAGCAAAAUUUACCUAUUCACCAGUUGAUGGACAUUUGGCUCAUUUUCAGCUUCAGGCUAUUAUGUAUAAACUUUCUGGUAAAAGUGUUUGCGUGGAUAUAUUUUUAUUUCUUUGGCAUAAAUACUUAAAAGUGAAAUUGCUGAAUUCUAUGGUAGUUACAAGUUUAACUUUAUUUGAAACUGUUAAAUUUUCUUUUUUGUUGUUGUUGUUGUUGUAAAUUGUUUUCAAAGUGAAUGUCCAUUUGCAUUUCUACCAGAAAGGUAUAUAAUUUUCAGUUCCGUAUCUGCACCAAUACCCUGUAUUGCCAUUUUUUUUUUAAUUCUUAGCCACUUUGAUGAGUAUGUAAUGCUUCCCUCAUUAUAAACAAGAACAAAUUUCCAAGAGAGAAGAUCCUAGAAAGAGAAUUUAUUUAGACCAUUUUCCAUAUUGAUACUAUAACACUGAGCCUAUUAAUUACUCUUACAAAUGUUCUGGAGUAAAAUAAAACUACCUGUAGUCAUGAAGAUUCUACAAUUGAGUAAUGAAAGUGAAACUUUAAGUCUUGGACUUUAAAACAAAAAAUAUUAAAUUUAGUAAGUAUGAGUUAAGAUUCCCCAGGACCUUCUUUAUGUGUUUCUUUGUGUGUCUGUGCUUGAGUAUGCAUAUGUAGGAGAGAGAAUGUGAGAGAGAACGAUUACACAUAGCAUUGUUAUUCUAGAAAUACUAUCAAGAGAUACUAUAAAAGUCUGUCACAGCCAAAAAAGAAGAAAAUAAAUUAAGCCUGGAAUUAGUAUUGGUUAACAAAAAAGAAAAAAAAAAGGUUAAAUAUGAACAUCAGAACAGUACUGGGUAAUUCCCUAUGAAUAGUUCUGCUAUUUGAAAAAUAUAUUCCAAUAUAACCAACUGAUAGGAUCCAAGAGCUACAUAUUAAAAAUUGAAAAUGUGCCAAGUUAACUCUUACUUCAAGAGGAUUAAUAGUUUAGAGGUUGCUUUGAUGUUUUUAAAAUUCAAUAUGGUGACUUGCAAAUAGAAAGGGAAACACUUUGUGAAAUGCUGUACCAAAGGUUGUUGUUUUUUUUUUUUUGUGUGUGUGUGUGUGUGCACACCAAAGUUUUAGCAGUCAGCAUGUGUGAAAAGUCUUCAUUUUCAUGCUGUGGUCUCAUUUUUAAAUGCAUUAAAUUCACAUGGCUCAUAAUGAAAGAUACUUUCAAUCUCUUUUUUUCUUUGGUGGGAAGAAUUAGGUACAAAGGAUAAGAUACCCUAUGCUUUCUACUCAGCCAGCUAAGUUAAUGAGCUACAGGAAGACUCGAUUGGUGGUAGGUAUAAACUGCAGCCAGUUACUAUGAAAAUUCUUAUCAUAAAAUCUAUUGAACUUAAAAUUAUUUCUAAAUAAUUUCAAUCUUAUAUUAUCACUGCUCAUCAUCUCCUUUAUUUAGUAUGUUGCAAU